GCUGUGGCUCAGUGGUAGAGCAUCUGCUUGGCAUGCAGAAGGUUCCCAGUUCAAUCCCCAGCUUCUCCA
RNAcentral lists this transfer RNA (69 nucleotides) under Sphaerodactylus townsendi. RNAcentral describes it as "tRNA-Ala". It matches the Rfam family "tRNA". From Rfam's summary of the family: Transfer RNA (tRNA) molecules are approximately 80 nucleotides in length. Their secondary structure includes four short double-helical elements and three loops (D, anti-codon, and T loops). The record is from RNAcentral. Lineage: Eukaryota; Metazoa; Chordata; Lepidosauria; Squamata; Sphaerodactylidae.